GAAAUGCGAUAAGUAAUGUGAAUUGCAGAAUUCCGUGAAUCAUCGAAUCUUUGAACGCACAUUGCGCCCUCUGGCAUUCCGGGGGGGAUGCCUGUCCGAGCGUCAUUACGCACCCUCAAGCCCGGCUUGUGUGAUGGGCCCCGGCGUCUCGUUCGCGAGACGGGCCCGAAAGGCAGCGGCGGCGUCGACCCGAUGAGCCCGAGCGUAUGGGGACUUCUGUCACACGUUCGUGGUGCGGACCGGCGCCUGCUUGACUUUUCUGAUUAUCCAGGUUGACCUCGGAUCAGGUAGGGAUACCCGCUGAACUUAAGC
RNAcentral lists this unclassified non-coding RNA (312 nucleotides) under plant metagenome. Its description in RNAcentral is "partial contains 5.8S ribosomal RNA, internal transcribed spacer 2, and large subunit ribosomal RNA". The stretch from base 1 to 105 matches the Rfam family "5.8S ribosomal RNA", at positions 50 to 154 of the family's 154-position model. The record is from RNAcentral.